RNAcentral lists this ribosomal RNA (723 nucleotides) under Enterobacter hormaechei. Its description in RNAcentral is "partial 23S ribosomal RNA". It matches the Rfam family "Bacterial large subunit ribosomal RNA", at positions 416 to 1140 of the family's 2925-position model. Lineage: Bacteria; Pseudomonadati; Pseudomonadota; Gammaproteobacteria; Enterobacterales; Enterobacteriaceae. The record is from RNAcentral.
GGCGGGACACGUGGUAUCCUGUCUGAAUAUGGGGGGACCAUCCUCCAAGGCUAAAUACUCCUGACUGACCGAUAGUGAACCAGUACCGUGAGGGAAAGGCGAAAAGAACCCCGGCGAGGGGAGUGAAAAAGAACCUGAAACCGUGUACGUACAAGCAGUGGGAGCCUCUUUAUGGGGUGACUGCGUACCUUUUGUAUAAUGGGUCAGCGACUUAUAUUCUGUAGCAAGGUUAACCGUAUAGGGGAGCCGAAGGGAAACCGAGUCUUAACUGGGCGUUAAGUUGCAGGGUAUAGACCCGAAACCCGGUGAUCUAGCCAUGGGCAGGUUGAAGGUUGGGUAACACUAACUGGAGGACCGAACCGACUAAUGUUGAAAAAUUAGCGGAUGACCUGUGGCUGGGGGUGAAAGGCCAAUCAAACCGGGAGAUAGCUGGUUCUCCCCGAAAGCUAUUUAGGUAGCGCCUCGUGAACUCAUCUUCGGGGGUAGAGCACUGUUUCGGCUAGGGGGCCAUCCCGGCUUACCAACCCGAUGCAAACUACGAAUACCGAAGAAUGUUAUCACGGGAGACACACGGCGGGUGCUAACGUCCGUCGUGAAGAGGGAAACAACCCAGACCGCCAGCUAAGGUCCCAAAGUCAUGGUUAAGUGGGAAACGAUGUGGGAAGGCACAGACAGCCAGGAUGUUGGCUUAGAAGCAGCCAUCAUUUAAAGAAAGCGUAAUAG